Molecule: ribosomal RNA, 497 nt
Filed under: uncultured bacterium
Lineage: Bacteria
Description: partial 16S ribosomal RNA
Rfam family: Bacterial small subunit ribosomal RNA
Source: RNAcentral
GAUGAACGCUGGCGGCGUGCCUAAUACAUGCAAGUCGAGCGAACAGAUAAGGAGCUUGCUCCUUUGACGUUAGCGGCGGACGGGUGAGUAACACGUGGGUAACCUACCUAUAAGACUGGGAUAACUUCGGGAAACCGGAGCUAAUACCGGAUAACAUUUGGAACCGCAUGGUUCUAAAGUGAAAGAUGGUUUUGCUAUCACUUAUAGAUGGACCCGCGCCGUAUUAGCUAGUUGGUAAGGUAACGGCUUACCAAGGCGACGAUACGUAGCCGACCUGAGAGGGUGAUCGGCCACACUGGAACUGAGACACGGUCCAGACUCCUACGGGAGGCAGCAGUAGGGAAUCUUCCGCAAUGGGCGAAAGCCUGACGGAGCAACGCCGCGUGAGUGAUGAAGGGUUUCGGAUCGUAAAACUCUGUUAUUAGGGAAGAACAAAUGUGUAAGUAACUGUGCACGUCUUGACGGUACCUAAUCAGAAAGCAACGGCUAACUACGUG